UCUCCUUCCUAUUUCUCGCACAAUUCCUAUGCUGAGUUUCUUUUCUCUGCUGCAAGUCCUUUCGCCGCUUCCGAUUCCCUAUAACACUAUGCCGUCACCUCCUCAUAUCAUCUCAGCCUUGCAUCCUCUCUACAGUUAUCUCUCUCUUCUCCAUCUGCAACUUCUCCUUCUUCAAGUAGGGGAACUCCUCUUUCUUUCUAACCCAUCUGCUCCAGAUCCCAUUCACCGAUGGCCUCCAUUCUCAAAAAAUCGCUCACCCCGGAUAAUCUAGCCGAUGAAU
This 280-nucleotide long non-coding RNA is filed under the name Linum usitatissimum (flax). Its description in RNAcentral is "long non-coding RNA (LUSI_LNC000844)". The record is from RNAcentral. Lineage: Eukaryota; Viridiplantae; Streptophyta; Magnoliopsida; Malpighiales; Linaceae.